AUGAACGCUGGCGGCGUGCCUAAUACAUGCAAGUCGCGCGAACGGACGAGAAGCUUGCUUCUCUGAUGUUAGCGGCGGACGGGUGAGUAACACGUGGAUAACCUACCUAUAAGACUGGGAUAACUUCGGGAAACCGGAGCUAAUACCGGAUAAUAUUUUGAACCGCAUGGUUCAAAAGUGAAAGACGGUCUUGCUGUCACUUAUAGAUGGAUCCGCGCUGCAUUAGCUAGUUGGUAAGGUAACGGCUUACCAAGGCAACGAUGCAUAGCCGACCUGAGAGGGUGAUCGGCCACACUGGAACUGAGACACGGUCCAGACUCCUACGGGAGGCAGCAGUAGGGAAGCUUCCGCAAUGGGCGAAAGCCUGACGGAGCAACGCCGCGUGAGUGAUGAAGGUCUUCGGAUCGUAAAACUCUGUUAUUAGGGAAGAACAUAUGUGUAAGUAACUGUGCACAUCUUGACGGUACCUAAUCAGAAAGCCACGGCUAACUACGUG
RNAcentral lists this ribosomal RNA (496 nucleotides) under uncultured bacterium. RNAcentral's name for it is "partial 16S ribosomal RNA". It matches the Rfam family "Bacterial small subunit ribosomal RNA", at positions 29 to 507 of the family's 1533-position model. The record is from RNAcentral.